AACGCGAAGAACCUUACCUAGGCUUGAAAAGCUUAUGACCGGCUGUGAAAGCAGCUUUCCCGCAAGGGCAUAAGUACAGGUGCUGCAUGGCUGUCGUCAGCUCGUGCCGUGAGGUGUUGGGUUAAGUCCCGCAACGAGCGCAACCCUUACCAUUAGUUGCCACCGGAGCAAUCCGAGCACUCUAAUGGAACUGCCUACGCAAGUAGUGAGGAAGGUGAGGAUGACGUCAAGUCCGCAUGGCCCUUACGCCUAGGGCUACACACGUGCUACAAUGGCCGCCACAACGGGCAGCAAAAUCGCGAGAUGGAGCGAAUCCCUAAAAAGCGGCCUCAGUUCGGAUUGGAGUCUGCAACUCGACUCCAUGAAGUUGGAAUUGCUAGUAAUCGCGUAUCAGCAUGACGCGGUGAAUACGUUCCCGGGCCUUGUACACACCGCCCGUAAUCAC
RNAcentral lists this ribosomal RNA (445 nucleotides) under bacterium enrichment culture DGGE band 12(2012). RNAcentral's name for it is "bacterial SSU rRNA". It matches the Rfam family "Bacterial small subunit ribosomal RNA", at positions 958 to 1403 of the family's 1533-position model. RNAcentral also lists the same sequence under 1 other name. The record is from RNAcentral.